This 333-nucleotide ribosomal RNA is filed under the name uncultured bacterium. RNAcentral's name for it is "partial 16S ribosomal RNA". It matches the Rfam family "Bacterial small subunit ribosomal RNA", at positions 338 to 682 of the family's 1533-position model. The record is from RNAcentral.
CCUACGGGGGGCAGCAGUCGAGAAUCAUUCACAAUGGGGGAAACCCUGAUGGGGCGACGCCGCGUGGGGGAAUGAAGGUCUGCGGAUGGUAAACCCCUGUCAUGGGGGAGCAAAUUAAAAAGAUAGUACCACAAGAGGAAGAGACGGCUAACGCGGUGCCAGCAGCCGCGGUAAGACAGAGGGCGCAAGCGUUGUUCGGAACCACUGGGCGUCCAGGGUGCGUCGGCUGUUUCGUAAGUCGUGUGUGAAAGGCGCGGGCUCAACCCGCGGACGGCACCUGAUACUGCGAGACUAGAGUACUGGAGGGGGAACCGGACUUCUCGGUGUAGCCGU